UACCAUGCAAGUCGAACGGGAUCCGCCAAGCUUGCUUGGCGGUGAGAGUGGCGAACGGGUGAGUAAUGCGUGACCAACCUGCCCCAUGCUUCGGAAUAGCUCCUGGAAACGGGUGGUAAUGCCGGAUGCUCCGCACCGUCGCAUGAUGGUGUGGGAAAGGGUUUACCGGCAUGGGAUGGGGUCGCGUCCUAUCAGCUUGUUGGCGGGGUGAUGGCCUGCCAAGGCUUCGACGGGUAGCCGGCCUGAGAGGGCGACCGGCCACAUUGGGACUGAGAUACGGCCCAGACUCCUACGGGAGGCAGCAGUGGGGAAUAUUGCACAAUGGGCGAAAGCCUGAUGCAGCGACGCCGCGUGCGGGAUGACGGCCUUCGGGUUGUAAACCGCUUUUGAUUGGGAGCAAGCGAGAGUGAGUGUACCUUUCGAAUAAGCACCGGCUAACUACGUGCCAGCAGCCGCGGUAAUACGUAGGGUGCAAGCGUUAUCCGGAUUUAUUGGGCGUAAAGAGCUCGUAGGCGGUUCGUCGCGUCUGGUGUGAAAGUCCAUCGCUUAACGGUGGAUCGGCGCCGGGUACGGGCGGACUGGAGUGCGGUAGGGGAGACUGGAAUUCCCGGUGUAACGGUGGAAUGUGUAGAUAUCGGGAAGAACACCGAUGGCGAAGGCAGGUCUCUGGGCCGUCACUGACGCUGAGGAGCGAAAGCGUGGGGAGCGAACAGGAUUAGAUACCCUGGUAGUCCACGCCGUAAA
Molecule: ribosomal RNA, 744 nt
Filed under: Bifidobacterium sp. F2
Lineage: Bacteria; Bacillati; Actinomycetota; Actinomycetes; Bifidobacteriales; Bifidobacteriaceae
Description: bacterial SSU rRNA
Rfam family: Bacterial small subunit ribosomal RNA
Source: RNAcentral